GUUUUUCUUAAAAAUUACUUUAUCUCUUUACUCUAUCUGAAUUCAUAUAUUAUUAAUCAUUCCUGAUUCUGGAACAUUUAUUUAACCUAAUGAUUAUGAGUUGUGCUCACAGUAACUUGGGAAAAAGAGAAUUAUUCCACAACCAUGGAUGUCUACUUUACAUACCCUAUAAAUUGUACAAUUAUCCUUCUUUUUUCACUCUUACUACUGAAACACGUAUGAACAAAUAAAAAUGUAAAUCAUUAAAAUUUUCAUCAAGUGAAAAAAAGGCAUUUACCUAAAAUACUAGUUUCAGCUUUCACAGUUUGACAUUGAUAGAUUUAUCAUUUUAUCCUACAGGUCACUGACCCAUAAACUCAAAAGCAAAGCAUUCUCAUAUUUUCCCAACCUUUUUGGCACCAUGCUGGUUUUCCAUACUGCAUUUUUCUUCCUUUUUCAUUGUCUAUUCUAUUAGAGCACUUUUAGGAGGUACAUAUGAAUCAUCAGACUCACUGCCUUUCCAUCGACAUUAUUAGUACUUCUUCUAGGUGUGAUGUGAUUGCUAAAGCUUCUCCAUGAACUGGUACAAAUGCCCAGUUUAUACAUUCUAUGUAACACAGAUCUGCUUUAAAAUAUUCACCCAGGAAAAGAGGCUUCAGAAGGACAUUGCAAUCUGCCUUCCUGCAAUCAGGAGGAAAUUCACUGUUAAAGAUCAAACUUGCAAAAUUCAAACACAAUAGGACACUGAAGUGGUAGCAUUAAAGUUGCACCCUACUGAGACUAGGUGGAGCAAGCUCUGAGCUCUGACAGUAAACUUAUGUUGACUUUGCUCCGAAUCCACAUUUUUAUUUCAUGAAUCAUCUGAUGUGAAUUCUCUUUCUCAUUUUACCCCAUUUAAAUUAAUAAGAAACCUUGCUGUGCUAUGCCUGAGGCCUAUUGUGUAUCAAUGUUCAAGGAAGCUGAACUCAUGAUUCUUUUAACUUAUUUUAUUUUAAAUUUAUAAUGGUUGAGGAUGUUACUGCUUAUUACCCUCUCUUUAUAGUUUUUAAAAGGUUUUUGUGAACAUUUCCCUGAAGAAUCAUCCUUUCAAGGAGAUGACGUCUUAUCUUCUCCAAUUGCAGGGUUUCCUGGAGUGCCUCAGUUGUCCCACUCUCUGUGUAGCUUAGAUGCAAUUUUCCCCUUGAUUUUCUUUAACUUGACCUCCAUCUACUUCCCCCCAGGAAGGCUUCAACCCCCUUCUAGCCAAUGAGUUGAUCAUUCAUUAGCUGGCUUACAUGUAUUGUCAUUCUUUCCAGUGUGUCGGACAUCUGACAUUAGCAUCUCUCACCAGCCUAAAUACUUCAUUCAUUAAGCUCUGUGUAUUGCCUACUUUACCUUCUCUUUUUUGGCUUAGCACAUUCUAGUCAUAAAUUAUAGCUACUAUAAUUUAAACAAGGCUUUAAUGGCCUAUCUCAACUCAUCACUUUGGGACAUUUUACCUGUUUAGAAUAUAGCACUGGCUCUUAGUGUAAGAAUGUCAGGUUACUGAGAUCUUAAAGAGUAGUGGGAAGAGUUUUUAUGCCAUUUUUAUAAAAUAUAAAUAUUAAAUGAAAAAAAUAAAUUUCAAUUCAGUAUCUACUAAUCCAAAAUUCUAAAUGCAAUGUUGUUAUUCUUAAAAAGUGGGAAAUUAAAAAAUUACUCCAUAUAAUAAGGCAUAGGAAUUUUUCAGAAAUGAAUAAAAUAUAGAGAGUGGAGAAGAGAUAUAUUAAAAGGAUCUCUUACUACCUUUUGAGAAUAUUUAUGUCAGUUUUGUUGAUCUCUAGAAUAAUUAAUGGCAUUUAGUUGUAUCCCAUAUUACAAACUCAGAUUAAGGACAUUUUCAUUUAUUGUCUAUGGUGUCUUCCUUGAGUUUUUUUUUUUUUUCUUAAUUCUUAUCUUUGUCCGAAGACUAAGGUUUUCUCACUAUAAAUGGUUUUUAUCCAAUCUUGGCAUGGAUGGCAAACAUUCUAAAAUUUUUACCACUGACUGAAAUAUUGGGGUACAUCAGGGACAAACAAAAAGGAAUUAUUAGAUAAUGCUAUUGAGUAGAGCAAGAGGACAAGCAUUGGCUUAAUUAAUUCAUCAGUAUGGUUGCUUGAGAUUAUGAGCUUGUGUGUGUUGGUAUGUGUAUGUGUAUGGAUAAAUGUAAGUGUGGUAGUGACUGACAUGAAAGAUAACAAAAGGCAAAACCUUUUAUAAUCAACCACUAACUGUGUCACCUGAGCGCUUAUAGAGCUUCUGCACAUCACAGAAGAUUUGAGGAAUGUAGGUUGACUCACUAUUUGUAAGCAUUAAGUUAAACAAAAGCACAAUGUCUAGAUCUGGACAAAACCAAAACAUUCAGAACUAAACAUUGAGAUACAGGAAAUGAUUUAUGCUGGGAAGAAACUUGGACUGUUUUAUCACCAAAUCCUGACAAAGCAGAUCAUUGUGCUAUAGAUUAUAAGGUAGAUCUUAGCAAAAUGAAUUAACUGGCUCAAUGUUUGUAAAUAACUAUAUUUUCAGAACACAUACAUGUUUUCAGCAACCUGACAAGUCAAGGAACUAGCUUAUGAACAAGAAAAAAUUUUCAAGGACUUUGGACCAUAAGAUUUUAUAAUGAAUGGUUUGUACAGCUAAUUUAAAAUAAGAAGGUCAAACAUAUAAGUUUUAUUUCUUUAUGUAAUUUCCUGACUAUUCUCCCAGGCCCAGACUAUCAUUUUAAGUCCUAAAUACCCUUUUCAUCUGGAUGGUGGUUUGCUAACACAACAUGUACCAAUGAUACUCACCAUUGCCAUCCCACAGUGUAUGCCUCUUGCUCCUGACAUCUUACUGGUGGUUUCCAAUAUUUGUAUUUAGUCAAGAAUCCCAAGACCUCUGAGUGCUCUUUGAUUUAUCUCUUUGCUUUUCCCAUAGCCAGUGAUUCAUCAGGGGCUGUCAAUUCCUUCUCCCUACUGUCUCAUACCACCCUUUGCUCUCGUACAUUACCCCAAUCCUAGUUAACAGUCUCAUUACUGCUUACCUAAACUACUGCUAUAACUCUUCCUCCUGCCUCUGGUCUUGCUUCUAAUCUACUCAUUGUGCAUUCAGCUGCCAAAUUAAUCUUUCUAAAGCACAGCUUUGAUUAUGUCACCUCUGCUCAAUGACCUUCAAAUUCCUCUUCUUUGCCUACCAAAUUGAGCUCUAACUUUCUAGCCUUUGACUUUAUGAUCCAGGCUUAGUUUUCUUGAGUUAGCAUUAAUAUUUUCCUCUUUUUGAAACUCUAGCUAAACUUAGCAAUUCAGCAUUCUACAAUCAAUCCUGGAAGCUUCUUUUUAUCAAUGGGUUUUGCAAUUAUUUUUUCUUACCUGGAAUGUUUUUAGUAUUUUUAGAGCUAUUUGCUAACAUUCUCCUUGAAGAUUGGCAGUUUUUGUUUUCAUUAAAAGAUUUCAACAACACUGGCUAAAGUGUCCCCCACAAGCGCACAGGAGGACUCAAACUCGUAGGGUAUGAUGAGGAGCAAGAGGUGGAGAAAGAAGGGAGAGGAUGGAGCAGUAGACAGUCAGAAGCCAGGGCCAAGGACAUUUGAGAAGUCUGAGAAUUCUAAAUUUGAAUCUGGUCUUUCAUAUCAUCAUGAAAUUAUAUUCAUCAAGAUAGAAUGAUGGGACACACUUUAAAUAAUUGCCCAAUUUCUAAACAUUUAGAUUCAGGAACAUGUAUGCCUCUACUUAAAUUCUUGCUGUGAAACACAUGAUUACUAGGAGCAAGUCUAUAUUUUAUCCAUGAAAACUAAUAAUUGACUACAUUGUCUGUAAUCUGCUAAGUCUUUAGUAUUUGUUGACUGUGGGGGAGCAGGGUGUUUCUUUGAAAUUCCAGGUAAUCUUUUUCCAUCUUUCUCUAAUGCUGAUCACAGACUCCUAUAAUUUCUUGCAUUUUAUACGUAUGAAUAUGUUCACUAUAAUCUCUAUCAAGAGUUUGUAUAAUGAUGUAUAGACUGCAGUAAUUUUAAUAGUAAUAGAGGUUAAAAUUUUGAUUACUGGAUAAAACAUAAAAACUCAGAGAAUACUUUAAAAGAGAUACAGAGACUCAUGGGAUUUAAGAGUUGUGAGAUAGUUUAGACAAAAGGAAACUGACUCAAGAAAAAUUAAUGACUUAUUUAGGGCUCAUGACUUCUAGUAUAUCAGGCUAGGAAGCUUUUUGAUUCCUUUCUUUCUAGUACAUGUGUAAGUUAUACAUUAAUCAGCAAGUAUCAUUAAGAUACAGUAUUAAUAUCCUGAGUAUUUAUAGCAAUAUUGCUUUCACUAAUACUGCAGUCAAUUUGUAAAGUGGAAUAAACUCAAGAUGCUAAUUCUAUAAACACUGAAACUUUCUAGAGGAGCCUACUUUGUUUAAAUCCAUAAUUGACACACACUGAAAAAUUAUCCAGGUGUAUACAAUGUUGACAUAUAGUUAAUCCAGAAGGUAGAGGGAUUAUGUUGCAGCAAUUUUCUUUGUAAAGAUUCAGUAGUAACAUCAUUCAGAACAACCAAUCUUAUAUGUGUUUGUAUAAGGCAUUACUGUGAACAAAUAUUGUCAGGUCAUAACUAAUUUCUACAGCAAUAAGCCAUUUGAAAAGGGUUUACAACCCUAAAAUAUGUUUAAACAUACAAAAUACAGAGUGUUCCCCCUUGGAGAUACCUGUAUCUAUAUUUAUCUGGAUCUAUAUUAUUUCCAUGUAUUACACAAUAGCUAUCAAAUACAAAGAGCAGGAAAACUAUUUAAAAUUGUAAUAGUCUCAAAGAAGAAUCUCAAUACUAUCACACUUGUUAAGUCAUUUCUUUAAUAAAAGACAAAGUACAGUUUUAUUUCCUCAUUUACAGCUGUUAUCUAGAGAAAAUCAGAUGAAAUUGUUUAUCACUGCAUGAAUACUACUUUUGCUGAGAAAAUAUUAGAAGUUGGUGGUGCCCGGGCAUGUGAUUGACCAUACAGAGGAAUUCAACAUUGAUCUUGGCCUCAUUGAUAAGUAUUCAAGUAUCAGAAUAUCAAAGAUUUCUUCAUAUGGCAGAUCUCAAAAAAGUUCAAGUUUAGAUGAAAAGUCUCAAAGUCCUGAUCUAUUGAAUUUCACUUUAAAAACAUUAGAUUAUUUUAUUAAGUAAUGGGUAAUAUAAUUAGACAUGAAUUAACUUCACAUACAAUAUGCCAUGAAAUAGAAAUUUAAAAAGUGGUAGAUAGUAAGUUGAACACAUAAUGAUAGCUGUACCUAUGAUUGAUGUAUCUAGAUAGCCUGUGUUUGAGUAUUUUCUCUUUUGCUAAGUAGAUAGUUUACUUUGUGUAAGUUUGUAACCUACACCAUUAUUUCUUACAUCCAUAUUUGUAAAGGGAUGCUAAUUGUAUUUAUCCUAUGGCGUUUUAUGAAGCUUGAAUUAAUGUAUUUAAAAUACUUCAAAGAAUGAAUGAUAUAGAAAAAGCUAAGUAACCAUUUUUAAAAUGUUAUUUGUCCCACUUCCUCCCCAUUAUUUUGCUUAGUAACUUCUUCAUAUGUAUUAUAUUUUAAUUUUUAAUAUAAUAUAAAUAAUUCAUAAUAUGCCUUUUAAACAAU
This 5533-nucleotide long non-coding RNA is filed under the name Heterocephalus glaber (naked mole-rat). RNAcentral describes it as "lncRNA (ENSHGLG00100039382.1)". Lineage: Eukaryota; Metazoa; Chordata; Mammalia; Rodentia; Bathyergidae. The record is from RNAcentral.